This 393-nucleotide ribosomal RNA is filed under the name uncultured bacterium. RNAcentral's name for it is "bacterial SSU rRNA". It matches the Rfam family "Bacterial small subunit ribosomal RNA", at positions 32 to 405 of the family's 1533-position model. The record is from RNAcentral.
AAUCAACGCUGGCGGCGUGCCUAACACAUGCAAGUCGAACGCGAAAGCCCCUUCGGGGGCAAGUAGAGUGGCGUCCGGGUGAGUAACACGUGGGUAAUCUACCUCCGGGUGGGGAAUAACUCGCCGAAAGGCGGGCUAAUACCGCAUAAUGCAGCGGCACCGAAUGGUGAUUAGUUGUUAAAGCGGGGGGACCUUAGGGCCUCGCGUCUGGAGAGGAGCCUGCGGCAGAUUAGCUUGUUGGUAGGGAAUGGCCUACCAAGGCUGCGAUCUGUAGCUGGUCUGAGAGGACGGCCAGCCACACUGGCACUGACACACGGGCCAGACUCCUACGGGAGGCAGCAGUGGGGAAUUUUGGGCAAUGGGCGAAAGCCUGACCCAGCAACGCCGCGUGAA